This 495-nucleotide ribosomal RNA is filed under the name Escherichia albertii. RNAcentral describes it as "bacterial SSU rRNA". It matches the Rfam family "Bacterial small subunit ribosomal RNA", at positions 33 to 516 of the family's 1533-position model. The record is from RNAcentral. Lineage: Bacteria; Pseudomonadati; Pseudomonadota; Gammaproteobacteria; Enterobacterales; Enterobacteriaceae.
ACGCUGGCGGCAGGCCUAACACAUGCAAGUCGAACGGUAACAGGAAACAGCUUGCUGUUUCGCUGACGAGUGGCGGACGGGUGAGUAAUGUCUGGGAAACUGCCCGAUGGAGGGGGAUAACUACUGGAAACGGUAGCUAAUACCGCAUAACGUCGCAAGACCAAAGAGGGGGACCUUCGGGCCUCUUGCCAUCGGAUGUGCCCAGAUGGGAUUAGCUAGUUGGUGAGGUAACGGCUCACCAAGGCGACGAUCCCUAGCUGGUCUGAGAGGAUGACCAGCCACACUGGAACUGAGACACGGUCCAGACUCCUACGGGAGGCAGCAGUGGGGAAUAUUGCACAAUGGGCGCAAGCCUGAUGCAGCCAUGCCGCGUGUAUGAAGAAGGCCUUCGGGUUGUAAAGUACUUUCAGGCGGGGAGGAAGGGAGUAAAGUUAAUACCUUUGCUCAUUGACGUUACCCGCAGAAGAAGCACCGGCUAACUCCGUGCCAGCAGCC